This 292-nucleotide ribosomal RNA is filed under the name uncultured Planctomycetota bacterium. RNAcentral's name for it is "uncultured planctomycete partial 16S ribosomal RNA". The record is from RNAcentral. Lineage: Bacteria; Pseudomonadati; Planctomycetota.
GGACUACAGGGGUUUCUAAUCCCGUUCGCUCCCCUAGCUUUCGCGCCUCAGCGUCAGUAGAGGUCCAGCACGUCGCUUUCGCCACCGGCGUUCCUUCCGAUAUCAACGCAUUUCACCGCUCCACCGGAAGUUCCACAUGCCCCUACCUCCCUCUAGACAGUCAGUAUCAAGGGCAGUUUUCCGGUUGAGCCGAAAGAUUUCACCCCUGACUUGACCAUCCGCCUACGCGCCCUUUAAGCCCAGUGAUUCCGAACAACGUUUGCACGGUUCGUCUUACCGCGGCUGCUGGCAC